AGCUUAGAGGAAAAUAAUGAUGAGGUAUGUGAGGAUGCAACUAUUUGUUGAGCUGUGGUUAAUUUACCUAUUAGUGAUUCAUAGAGCUUUUAAAUAAUCUGUUUAGUUGUGAUAUUGGUAGCUAGAGCUUUAAAAUUUGGGGUUUUAGGAUUUGGACUUUUUAUAGUAAGAAUCCAGGGUUUGUAGCUUAAAGAGUGUCUGAACUGGCUGAGAUAUGAUGGCAGAAGGCAGGUGGAUUUGAAGGAUUUGGUUGCUAGAAUUUUCUGGCAGCAAGGGAAUAAAUCAAAACAUUAUCAAAGAAAAUGUGAAGAUUACAAGGGUCUACGAAUCAUAAAUAGGAAGACACCAAAAGAAUAACUUAGACUCAAAGAAAAUGAUCCAAUAAAUCUUACUACUCCAAGAAGUAGAGAGAAGUCUAGCUCUUGGAAUUCCUCGAAGACUUCAGCUUAAUUAAUCAAAAUACCCUGAAUUUCACAGGAAUCAUAACUCAUUUAAGAUAAACUCAUUUUACACACUGAUUCAUUACUUAGCUAAGAAGGAUUUUAGCCACAAAACCACUAGUGUUACUUCCUUGAACAUUCUGUAUAGAUCAUGAAGUAGCUAUCUGCUGCUGUAUCAAUAAAUACUUUCAAUAAUUGGUGCAAUUGAGUAUUUGUACGGUUGUACCUUCUGUCGUAUUGAAGUCUAUUUGUGCUAUAAUCUCCCCUCUCUCCUAUUUUUGGUUUAUUUGUUUCAUUCUGCUGAUUGUGUAUUUUGUACAGUUAAAGGCUAUUUCUUGUUUGCAGUUGGAUGUUCACCUCAUGCUUA
Molecule: unclassified non-coding RNA, 807 nt
Filed under: Hevea brasiliensis (rubber tree)
Lineage: Eukaryota; Viridiplantae; Streptophyta; Magnoliopsida; Malpighiales; Euphorbiaceae
Source: RNAcentral